GAUGAACGCUGGCGGCGUGCCUAAUACAUGCAAGUCGAGCGAACGGACGAGAAGCUUGCUUCUCUGAUGUUAGCGGCGGAAGGGUGAGUAACACGUGGAUAACCUACCUAUAAGACUGGGAUAAGUUCGGGAAACCGGAGCUAAUACCGGAUAAUAUUUUGAACCGCAUGGUUCAAAAGUGAAAGACGGUCUUGCUGUCACUUCUAGCUGGAUCCGCGUUGCAUUAGCUAGUUGGUACGGUAGCGGCUUAGCCAGGCAACGAUGGAUAGCCGACCUGCGAGGGUGACGGGCAACAGGGCAGCUGAGACGCCGUCCCGACCCCUACGGGAGGCACCGCUCGGGAUUCUUCCGGAGGGAGCGGUAGCCAGACGGAGGCAAGCGGCGGAAGUGAGGCGCGUCGACGGAUCGUAGAACACUGUUGUUAUCGAGUAGCAUACGUCUAUCGAACCGGGCGCAUUUUGACGGUAGCGAAACAGAAAGCCCCGGCUAACUACGUG
This 497-nucleotide ribosomal RNA is filed under the name uncultured bacterium. RNAcentral describes it as "partial 16S ribosomal RNA". It matches the Rfam family "Bacterial small subunit ribosomal RNA", at positions 28 to 507 of the family's 1533-position model. The record is from RNAcentral.